RNAcentral lists this long non-coding RNA (1879 nucleotides) under Mus musculus (house mouse). RNAcentral describes it as "RIKEN cDNA 2610307P16 gene". Lineage: Eukaryota; Metazoa; Chordata; Mammalia; Rodentia; Muridae. The record is from RNAcentral.
GGGUGGUAAGGGAGUUCCAGCAAAUUAAUAGGAGUCCGGGAAGUUUUUGGGGGCUGGGGUCCAGUUGAGGAAGCCACAGGUUCCAGACUGUCAAGAGCUGCGCAGAUGAAGCUGAUGGGGCCUGGACCAUUAGUUAAGAGUCCGCUCCCCUCACCUCCGUGGUUUGGUUCAGUUUAAUGACCCACCCAGAAUGACCUAUUGCUGUCCUCGUCGGGAUCCAUCCUCUCUUAGGUGUUGGCGACCCCCGGGCCUAUCUCAGCCAGUCUGAAUAGGAAGGGAACCACGAGCCUGCCGAGCUCCCCUGACCUAGCCCUCCGCCCCGCCUUUUGUGUUUUAACCUUUUGUUUCUAUCGGCCACACCCGCCCAAAAGAGCGGCGGCUUUUCGUCUCUGUUCAGCGGGGAAGCAGCGAGGUUCCCUCCAGAUAGCGGUGAAGGGCGGCUUCCUAACUUUGUUUCCCAAGUCCCCUAACUUCGGAAUGCUUCUGCAUUGGUUCUUGCUCAGUGUCAUACCAGCGACUCCAAGAGUCAUGUCACCCACUUAGCAGGAGUACUUCUACUGAAAUGCCUUCGAAUUUCUCUUACUGGAUAUAUACCUACCAGCCGCUAGCAUGAAGAUGCCAGGACCGCUGCAAGUUAGCACUGGACAAAGUAGCAUCAACUUCUUCAUUUAGAGUUUCUUCAGUUAAAUUGCUGGGAUUUUCGACAAGGCUUUCCUUAUGUGGAUUAUUGGAGUGUGAUGCCCGAGAAUUCUCUACUUGUAGAAGCACGCCCACGGGACUGCAGAAGCCUUCACACCCACCCAGCACGCUCAGAUGGGAAUGAGUGAUGGCCAUCCAGUGACCAGCUGGAUCUGACUGCCUUACAAGACGCAUGUGUAUGAUUAAGAGAGAGACAUUCGUGACUCCCAGAUGUACCUCCUUCCUGUCCCACAGUGUUCCUGAAGGGAGUGAGUUAUGGGGUAACUUAUAACACAGCAGGCUCUUCCUCAAGAUAGCUCUUGUCAAAACAGGAAGACGAAACUCGGGUUUCCAUGAGGAGACCACAGCUUGGGAUCCUGUCUGGAUGUACAAGCAGAAGCAUCUUCAUACUUUUCCAUUUCUAACCAUCAUGCCUCACCCCACCCUCCCAAGGCGACAUCUGCAGAGAGGUGGAACCAUCUAGGGAGGCCUGCCACUGUUUGCUGAGCUCCGGGUGAGGAUGAAGACACUUUGACAUGGCCAGCUUCAGACUCGGGAUCUGUCGGUGUUAGCAGCCGAAGGAGAAUGAGGAGGAAGAGGAGGAGAAAGAGGAGGAGGAAGUAAGACAGAGGGGGACAAGAGGACCAAGAGGGCACAUGGCUGAGGAGGAGGAGAACAACAACAACAACAACAACAACAACAACAACAAGAAGCUUGGUGGAUGUGUUCCUGAGUCUCGUGAGUAGCACAUGGCAGUUGUUGUCACCUUGGGCUGAGCCGUGAAGAUUCUCACCCUCCCUUGUUGGGGAUGAACUCCGGGAUUCUAAGGAGAGGUCAGCAGGUGUUUCACAGACUGUUCCUGUUGGAGGAUUUGUCUGAUACUCUUCUCCUGAUUAGUCUGGGCUCUACAUUUCCCCAAGGGUGAAACUUGGAAGCCCUCUCCAGGAUGCAGCAGGUAGCUGAGGAGAAAACGAAGACUGACCAGCCCAGAGCUCAGAGCUUCCUCCCAUGCUCAGGAUUUACCACCAAUGCCAUUACAUCGGCCUCUUCUUGUAUGCCUCUGGAAACCACAUGUGUCCUCUGUUUGUAAUGGUUUGGCUAUGGUUGCUGGCCCCUCUUGGACAUUGUUUUCAGAACUUAAAGAAACAUUGCUUUAAAGAUUUAUUAGAACAUAUUUAAAAUAAAACCAUCUUCUCAUUUA